This is a long non-coding RNA of Hibiscus syriacus, 308 nucleotides long. RefSeq lists it as uncharacterized. The record is from RefSeq and is a predicted model, not a curated record. The transcript has 4 exons. Lineage: Eukaryota; Viridiplantae; Streptophyta; Magnoliopsida; Malvales; Malvaceae.
AUAAGAAGAGUAUUCAUAUGGUAAAGCAUUCAAAGUGGAUGCCUGCAAUUUUGGGGACCAAGCAAGAAUGGCAGGAAAGAUUCAAGAAUAUACGGUUAGGGAGAAAAGGAGUUGAAGAUUCAGAGAAAGUUGAAAAUUCAACCACGGCUGUUGCAUUCUAUGAUGAAAACUUAUACUUUCUAAAAGUAAAGAACGAUAUGGAAUCAAAGGCUUUAGAAGCAAUUCCCUCUGUAGACAUUUUAAAUACCGUGGACACCAAUAACUUUCCUCCAACAUCUGUUAUCAAGCAAUUAGCUUUAGCCGUUGAG